Molecule: long non-coding RNA, 1954 nt
Filed under: Pan troglodytes (chimpanzee)
Lineage: Eukaryota; Metazoa; Chordata; Mammalia; Primates; Hominidae
Description: long non-coding RNA NONPTRT004737
Source: RNAcentral
GUCCCGGGUAAUGGAAGUAGGGGUCCGCAGAGUACAACUCAGCCUACUGCUGAUACUCAGCAAAUGGCAGAGGAUGCUGUGGUUUGAGCACUUGGUGGGGACAUCUAGAAAUGAGCACAGCGUGGAUCAUUCUUCACAUCCAAUUGAGAAGACUUAGUGCAGGGUUUGGUAUCAGGCAGGACCUGUAGAUACGGGGCAGUGCUGAGCCCCUGCUGAUUACUGGUUGUGGUGUCUUAGCCAUUGUUUGUGUAAGAAUAUGUGUGCAGUUGGGUGGGAUUAUGAGUCAACCCCGGGUGCUGCAUCACCUUUCCCCCUCUUCUUGGACAGGUUCAGCUUGUUCUGGUCUACCUAUACUCAACCUGCUUCCCCAUUAGCUUCUGGCCAGACUUCUUUCCAUGGCUGCGGAAUUGCAAGAAAUACCAUACUCAGACUACUGCCAGAGAAUAAUGACAUUUACCCCUUGUCUGUGCUUUGUGUGAGGGCUGUCUGGGUCCCAUAUAUGAAGGAGUGUCACUGGGUGGUCACGCAACUGAAUCACGCAAUUUUAUCUUCUUCCCAUAACAUAUAGUUUCUCUCAAGAGGAAUUACCUUCAUGAUUACUUCCCAUCUUUCCCCAAACUUGAUGGGCCAUGGUCUAGAUCUUCUGCAAAUGUCAUCUCUCAAAUUUGCCUUCAUCUGAUCUUUUUAUAAUGUAUCUGAGCUAUAAUCCUGUAGACCCUGAGGCUGGGUCUACAGACUUGCUGUAGCAAGAGCUUUCCCAGUAUAAAGGCAUUUCUUCCCAACUCAGUCUUCUAGAAAUGAUGCUUUCAUGGCUUAUAAGUUUCUGACUGGUUGCUUCUGAGAGAAAUUGUCCCCCAAUACCUGGCCAUUCGCAGUUUACCCUGUUUGUCAUGGUGACAUCAUAUGAGUUUUCCCAAAAGUUUCCUCCUAAUUUGCCUCCUACAUAUCUCUUCCCUGAUGUCCAGAAUAAUUUACGGUCCUCUCCCCAUCGGGUGUGUGUUUGUUUGUUUGUUUGUUUUUUGUGACUGCGAGGAGGGGAGUGGACCCCUCAACCAUGUGCAUGCCCCCGCUGCUGCCAUCCCCCUGUCCCCUCUUGACUGCCAGCAACAGCUUGGUAUGGGCCCAAUGCCCAUCCAUUUUCAGGGCUAGUUGAUUUGGCAGGUGAGUUGUUACACACUCCUUGGCAGAUCCUCUCCCCAUAUGUUAAUAUUCAACAUUUGGUCACUCUUCCUCUUACCGGUUACUUUUUCCUCUCACUUUCUCUGUUUAUAAGCUUUUUCUACCUACUUUUGUGUGAGAAAAAUUAGCAUGUGUUGGAGGGUGUUUCUGCUUAUGGGAGUAUAGGUCAUGGGUCUUGGGGUAUGUUCCUUGUACUUACACAUAUGUCCAUGGGGCCCCAUCCUUGCUGGCACUGGUGUGUUUCCCUGCAGCCCCCUCUGCUGGGGUCUGCUGCUGUUUCUGAGGGUGUGUUUGUUUGUUUCACUGGUGUAGUUAUAUAUGUGGAGCUCUAUAUUUCAGAUUUACGUAUCUUUCCAGGGAUGAAUGGCUGUCUUAAAACAGAUCACAGUGGUGGAGAUUUGGAGAAUCAGUGAUCUGGUCUAUAAGCCCUGAAAGUGGUUAAGAAACAAAUACAAAGAAUUAAGCAGAUGGGUGCUAUUAUGCCUGGAAUAAAAGGCUUGCUUGGUUCUUAAGCCUACUUCUAAUGCCCACUGUGCAUUGCUCUCUGGAGCAGGACUGCUGCUGCUAAGGACUUCUGGUGUGAGAAAGGGACUGGGAAGGAAUGCUUCCAGCCACUGGGAACAUGGAAUGGUGCCCCCUCAGGAAGCAUGUUAAUUGACCUAAGUCAGCAGAGUCAGCCCGGCUCUUCUGCCCCCAAAUUCCAGGGUUCCAGGUAAGUACAGUUGCUUAGAGUCAGCUCAUAUCUACUGUUGGGACCGCACGUGGUAUUGCCAGG